Molecule: ribosomal RNA, 440 nt
Filed under: uncultured bacterium
Lineage: Bacteria
Description: bacterial SSU rRNA
Rfam family: Bacterial small subunit ribosomal RNA
Source: RNAcentral
CCUACGGGAGGCAGCAUUGGGGAAUCGAUGGCAAUGAGGGAAACCUUGACCACGCAAUGCUACGUGAAGGAAGAAGGUCUACGGAUUGUAAACUUCUUUACUAGAGAGUACUUCCGCAAGGUUUGCUCUUUGGCAAAAAGUCACGACUAACUACGUGCCAGCAGUCGCGGUAAGACGUAGGUGGCGAACGUUAUCCGGAAUCAUUGGGCGUAAAGGGUGCGUAGAUGGCAAGAUAAGUUAGCGGUGGUAAAUCGAGGCUCAACCUCGUGGAAGCCGGUAAUACUGUUUUGCUUGAGUGCAGGAGAGGUUAACGGAACUCCAUGUGGAGCGGUAAAAUGCACAGAUAUAUGGAUGAACACCAAUAACGGCGAAGGCAGUUAACUAUUCUGCUACUGACAUUGAGGCACGAAAGCGUGGGGAGCAAAACGGAUUAGAUACCC